UACGUAGGGUCCUAGCGUUGUCCGGAAUUAUUGGGCGUAAAGAGCUCAUAGGCGGUUUGUCGCGUCUGCUGUGAAAACCUAAGGCUCAACCUUGGGCUUGCAGUGGGUACGGGCAGACUAGAGUGCGGUAGGGGAGACUGGAAUUCCUGGUGUAGCGGUGGAAUGCGCAGAUAUCAGGAGGAACACCGAUGGCGAAGGCAGAUCUCUGGGCCGUUACUGACGCUGAGGAGCGAAAGCGUGGGGAGCGAACAGG
This 253-nucleotide ribosomal RNA is filed under the name uncultured bacterium. Its description in RNAcentral is "partial 16S ribosomal RNA". It matches the Rfam family "Bacterial small subunit ribosomal RNA", at positions 524 to 776 of the family's 1533-position model. The record is from RNAcentral.